UUUUUUUUUUUUUUUUCCUACUUUAGUUUUUCCUUCUGGUCCAGUUCGCCCACACCUUCAAGAGGACACACUAGUAAAGGGUGAAUUCCCCAAGUGCUGUGUGUUCUUAGGCAAGCUGCUUAACGUCUCUGUUUCUUCUUGGAAAUGCGAUCAUACUACGUGGUCUAGCCAAGUGGACUGACAUAAGGCUUGAAGCCCAUUUGUAUACGCACAUCCUUAAGUGCUCCAACUGUUUGACUUCACGGCAGGUCCACCAUAUCUCCAGCUUUUUCUUCCACAUGAAGCUACUUCACCAAUAUGCUCAUGGACACUUUGUAUUUUAAAGCCAUCUUUCUUGCUGGCCCCCUUACAGAGGAGUCGGCAGUUAUCAAUAGGCAGGACUCAAGCCUCUUUUCACCAUUAGGGUAUUUUGCACAUCCCUUCACAGGUUGUAGCUAAAAGAAUAAAAAUUAGAUUGAAAUAUUAAAUAACCUGGCUAGCCAGAGACAUUUUGCCAGAUGCCAGCACUUGUGUCCUAGAUAGUGAAAAGACCACUACAGUAAUGAGAAGCAAUGUUGGAUUUAAAAAAAAAAAAAACAAAAAAAAAAAAGGCAGCCUUUGGAACAGGGUAAAUGGGACUCAAAUCCGUAUAGUAGCUAACAAUACUUGGGCUUCAAUUUAGGAGCUUCACUUGCCUCCUCCGUAAAAUGGGCCCAUUUGCAACAACCUCCAGACCUCCUGAAAGCAUUGAGUCCUUGAAAAAAACCGGAUAUAACGUGUAUAAGGUUCUCAGCACAGGGCCUGGCUGUGAUCCCUUGGAUGAAUGCAGGAGGCAUCCCGGAAUGCUAUGCAGAGUCAUAAUAAUAAUACCCAAAUAACAAUAAAACUAAACCUUCAUAUUUCUAUCCUUCCCAAUAUUUUGGGUCCCGGAUAAACUAGUCUAGUAAUGCGACAUAUGCAAAACACCAAGGUUAGCGGUCCUGUCGGCACCUUCCUCCCCACCCUGCCCCCAAACCACAAAUCCUCCGCCAUAUACAAAAUCCUUUCUCUAUUUAGGACUCGGUGGAAGCUUCGAGAACAGGACAGGGAUUGCUGGGACCUGGCCUCCACCCGCAACAAACGAGGUUGUACUUAACGAAUCCCUGGUGGCGGGGAUUUGACAUUCUGGACCUGAUGCAUCUGCCAGCCUCCGUCCCUGGUUCACACGCCCCUGAGGAUGCACUUUUUGCAUUGACUGUGUUUCUUUCGAUGCCAACCUAGACACCUCUCAAUAAAUUUCUGUUUGCCUGGGAGCUGACGGGCACAGAAAGCUAGAUUCAAUUUGUGCCGAUUUAUGAGGCACACGCACGGCCAUCCUGGAAACUUUCCUGGGGCUCACUUUAUAAAUUAACCCCUUAUUUAAAUAUUCUGCAGACUUAGCACCGGCCAGUGUUUGGGGGGCGGGAGGCACUGUCUCACAUCAGCCUUCUGGGUCUCUUGGUGUUUGCUGCCAUGACACCUGGGCCCUGCUCUGCACAGACAAUGCUGAUUUGCAAGAUUUAUGGGAGGAGGGGAGUGCCUGCGUCUCUUUGUCAUUCAGGCCACAGCAGCCCUGGUGGCACUGGGCUCCAAAGCAGGAACUUCAAGACCUCCGUAACUCAGGCACACGAGCAGCAUUUGGACUCGACGGAGCGUGGCUUCAUUCAUUCACUCAUUCACUGAUUCACCUAAAAUGUUUGGCAAAAACCAACAGGAUUCAAAACAGAGAAAAACACAAUACUUGGUCUCAAAGAAUGUAUAUUCUGCCUGUAGGCUCUCGUGGGAAGAACAUGACAUUUAUGAGCCAGCAGACCCUGGCUGGAGGGUUCCCUCUGCCACUCGGGAGCUGUGUGAUUCUGGGUAACUUACUGGUCCUCUUAAGCCUCGGUGUCCUCAUCUGGGAAAUGGGUACCAUCCCACUCAGUUUCACAGAGGACACAUUGAGGAAACACUACUCGCUGAACUGCUGUGCAAACCUGAAGCACCACACAAGCGAUCAAGAUUCUCAGACACGUGUCGGCAACACACAGGAGGAAGGAACGUGUGUCCAGUAAAGGAACCAAAGAGCAGUCACAGAAAACGAGACCCUGCCGCGGAGAGCCUAGCGGGGUCACAGUAACUAGGGGGUCCUCGCUGCGCUUUGUGGGUACUGUGACCCGAUUUUCUUUCCUCGUGGUUAAGAAGAAUGAGGAGGAGGAAAAGGAGGCGGAGGAACGAGACGGGGAUGGACAGGCUGUUGUCAAGAGAGGCGCGUGUCUGUAGUGGAGGAAGGAGAGUGUGAGACGGGCGGAAAAAGACGGAGGGAGAGAGAAGGCUGAGCCCGGUCGCUUUGCUUUCCUCGAUCCCAGCGACGCCCAGCUAAAGACACUGAGGGGAGGACCCCCCACACUGUCCAAAGCACUGAUUCUUCAAGGCAAGUGUCCUACUCUCAGCGGCGGCGGGGAGGAGGGGGGCAAAAUAAAACCGGCGAUCUCAAAAGCCCCUGCCGUGCCGGCUGUAGCUGGAUGGAAUCCGCCUUUGGAGACCUCCGCUGACGGGAUGUGCGGGACGGCGUGCAGGGUCCCCUCUCGGGGGUCAUCGCCGCCGCUGACCCGCUGGCCUCUGCGACCUCGCUGUGACAGAUGGCUCCCUUUACGGUGUUCGCUCUCCCAUCACGACCCCGCCCGAAAAGGCGGCGACUGUCCUGACGCAGAGGGAAGGGAUGGCUGCAUUUUCCAUGCUUCACGCCUUUGUCCGGGGCAGGACCAGGGAGCCUCCACGCGCACCUGAGAGGCAGCAGAGGGAAGUGGCAGACGGCCGGGACUUCCACCUAUGAUUACAACCUCCUUCCAGGUGGGGCCAGUGCCGUCUUCAGUGGCCCUGGUCUGAUGACUGGAAGUGCCUGAUGUCCCAGACCAGGGUCUAAACGGCCUGAGAAUUCCCUCUGGCACGCUCUCUGGGAUCGCUCGCUGGCCACCAGCCAGACUCUGUGGAUGCCCGAGCAGCACCGUGGAAAGGCCCACGUGCAUGCGCUAUUUUGGGUCUGAAACUUCCAGCCCAUUAAGCCUUGAGAGACCAGAGCCCCGGCCAACGGCUCCACUACAACUUCACUAGAGACUCCAAGGCAGAGCCACCUAGCUAAACGACUCUCUGAUUUCUGACCCAUAGAAAAUAGGAGAUAUUUGUUUAUUGUUUUAAACCCUGAAGCUUUGGGGUAACUUAUUAGGCAGCAAUAGAUAACCGCUACAAAGACUCAGGAAGGAGUACAUGAAUCUGGGAAAAAGAGAUACAAGCAACCUUGGAGUUCCCGUUAUGGUUCAGCAUGUUAAGAACCUGACUAGUAUCCAGGAAGAUGGGGGUUCGAUCCCUGGCCUCGCUCAGUGGGUUAAGGAUGGAGCAUUGUGGUAGCUGUGGUGUAGACCGGAAGCUACAGCUCUGAUUCUACCCCUAACCAGGUAACUUCCAUAGGCUGCAGGUGUGCCCCUAGAAGAGAAAAAAAACAAAGAUGAAAAGAGAUACAAACAACCCAACCGGCUAUCACUACGAGCAAGAUAAGAAGGGGGCUAUUCAAGAAACAAAAGUUACAUGGGGACCAACGAUGUUCGAACCUGCCAAGCGUGAUUUUCUCUCCGUACCAGGUCCUGUAUCAACUAGGAGAUUCCAUUCUAGGGCUUGGAAAGGAGUGCAUCAGACACGUGCUCAUUAAAAGCUUCUGGGUGUAAUAUUAGUAAUUGCUAUUUUUGCUGGUAUACAACGAGCACUUGUGUCCAGGGAUUAUGCUUUAUGCUGUUUAAAAUUUUUCUUUUUGGAUCCUUUCAAUGCUCCUAAAAAUGGAGAUAGCGGAGUUCCCGUCGUGGCGCAGUGGUUAACGAAUCUGACUAGGAACCGUGAGGUUACAGGUUCAAUCCCUGGCCUUGCUCAGUGAGUUAAGGAUCCGGUGUUGCCGUGAGCUGUGGUGUGGGUCGCAGAGGCGGCUCAGAUCCCACGUUGCUGUGGCUCUGGCAUAGGCUGGUGGCUGCAGCUCCUAUUCGACCCCUAGCCUGGGAACCUCCAUAUGCUGCGGGAGUGGCCCUAGAAAAGGCAAAAAGACCAAAAAAAAAAAGAGAUAGCAAUAUUACCACUGUUUCAUAGCUGAGGAAAAAAAAAAAAAUUUCAUCUAUCUAUUAGGUCUUUCACCUACCAGGGUAAGUAUCUAUUAGCCUCUCUCCUUCCAGGCAGGUCACGGAUGCUGGCAUGGGCAAGUGGGGAUGGGCACCCAGGUGGGCUGACAGUGGGUACUUCAAGCUACAGAAUAAACUCAGUGCAUCUUCCCAGAGCAUCAGUGUUAGAACAGACAAGAGAAUUAAAAUGCCAUUUUUACAUUUACAUGAACAUAAAUAUUCUGGUAAAAUAAAAGUUCCCUGGAGCUUUUAAGAGGAGUCUUAGAGGCUCAUGGUGGGUGAUCUCAGGGUGUGUCCCAGACCCUCCAGGACACAUGUGCAGCCUCUGUAAAAGCACUGGCUGGGACACAGCUUGUAUAUGAGAGAAUGAAGGCUGAACAGGGGACGUGACCUCCAAAGUCACAGAGCUGGCAAUCAGAGAUCUGGGGUGUCCGGAGCCUCCAGCUCCUAGGGGACUCCUCUGUCUCCAGGCUGCUCCACCAGCCAGGCUGUGGCAGCUGCAAGGGGCUGGGAGCAAAUCCCCUCCCUCUUACACUAUCUCCACUCCCUAAAUAUCGCAUCCCGCCCCUCCCGUCCCCUCCAACAAGGACUGUGAUUACGGCGGCGUCAUUAGUGCCCUCGAAGAAAAAGCGCCUUUCAGAUACUCCUAAAUGUGUUUGCAAUGAUCGCAGUGGCCCUUUUGAUAAAUAAUUGAAGAAGAGGCGAGUGACCUGGAGGCGGCAGGGGUGAGGACGGGGAUGCAGGAGGAGGCCAGGCGGCCCAGGGAACAGAAAAGUCAUUUACGGAGGCAAGGAGGGAGCUCUCCGCCUCCCGGGGGGCCCGGAGCUGCUCAGAUGUUCCCUCCAAUCCAGGCUGAUGCCAUCCUGCUUGGCCAAAUCGACCUGAACAGCCCAGAAAGCUGCGCGGCCGCACCUGUCACCCCCAAUCGGCGCUGCGGAAACUUUGUUAGGAAAAUAGAUGUACUGAGAUUCAAUUUUUCGAUUGUCUGAAGACUUCAUUUAGUGACCUUGGGGAGCCUCUCCUAGAGGUGAACGGAGAUGCUGGGAAUCUUCCUGGAGCCGGGGAGGGGGGAGACGGGGCUGCCCUGGUAAUGGGUAAUUUGUUUAACUCUCAUUUUCAGGCCUCCUCGGGAAGUCGUGGAAACAGUCAGAGAGGUGCUACCAUUUUCUUAAUGAAAAAAUAAAAAAUAAAAAAGACCUGGGGGCAGGAGGAAGGUAUGAGAGAGACUGACUCCCAGCCACGCUGUGUCACUUUCCUAAGAGCACUUAGGUCACUACGUCUUAAGACAUUACGAAAAAAACAGAGAGACCUACCUCUGGAUGCGCUUCUAAAGUGAUAGAUGGGGAGACAGCGAACCUGGGAGAUUUUUAAACGUAACACAAAGGAAGAGAAAAUGCUAAGCCCAGAGACCUACCAUCCGGAGGCAAAAACUACUAGGACAGUGAUACUGCUCCCGUCCCUCCUGCCUUCUCCUCCCUCUUGCCUUCAUCCUCCGCCCCUUCUCCUUCCCCUGGCGGCUAUGGUAGCUACUGUCACUGUCACAGCUCUUGCCGCGGCACUACAGGGCAAGAGACCCACGGAGACGGUGUUCAGAGGAGGAGGCGCCCACCAGCUUGGCUCGUUCGAACGCAAUCCGAGGAAAGGGACCUGCUUGGGUGGGGGCGGGGAUGGCGGCUGGAACGGGCAGGUGCCCGGCUCUGGCUCCAGUCCGCACUUGCUCUGGGCCCUUGUGAUGCGGCGCUCACCACCUCUCGGAGUCCCGAUUCCCUCUGAGUGAGAGGAUCCCCAAACCCUCAGCACAGAAGCUGGUCCAGGCUAAGGGGAGGCUCACCGUUCGCUGCUUGUGCCCCACACGCGUCCCAUGAUCUCCGGCCUGGGCUUCUAGAAAACCCUCUAGAUCAUGAAGGGGCAAACUUUUCCUGCACAGGGCGGAACAGUAAACACUUCAGGUGGGCCGGCUGAUCUCUGCUGCAGCGACUCAACUUUGCUAUCGUAGCUUGAGAGCAGCCAGGGACAGAACGGAGCCAAUCAGGCAAGGCUGUGUUCUCAUAAUUCCAAGUGUAAAAAAUGGGGAGGGGGGGAGUUCCCGUGUGGCUCAGAGAGUUAAGAACCCAAGGUUGUCUCUGUGAGGAUGCAGGUUUGAUCCCUGGUCUGGCUCAAAAGAAAAAAAAAACAAAAAACAAUCUGGCAUUGCCACUAGCUGCAGAGUAGGUCAUAGACACAGCUCAGAUCCGGUGUUGCUGUGGCUGUGAUGUGGGCCGAGGCUACAGCUCUGACUGACCCCUGGCCCGGGAACUUUCACGUGUCACAGGUGCAGCUGUAAAAAGCAAAAAUGGGGGGAGGGGAAUCAGCUGGCUUUGGCGUCCCUUGGGCUGUAGUUUGCUGACCCUUUUGCUUUAGAUCAACUUUCCUCAAGGUGUCAUCCACGCAUCACUGGCAGCAGGAACUCCUGCACUGCUUGGUAAACAUGCAGACCCCUGGGUCUCAUCCUGGAUCAGCUAUAUUUUAUACCUUUUUUUUGGCUGCACUUGUGUCAUGUGGACGUUCCCAGGCCAGGGAUCAAACCUGCAUCGUGGCAGUGACCAGAGCCACGGCAGUGACAAUGCAGGCUCUUUAACAGCUCAGCCACCAGGGAACUCCUGGCAGCCCCUUUAAGAUGAGGUCUGAGAGCUGGUCCCCCCAGAUCCUGAAGCAGGUGAAGUUGGAGAAUCUGUCUUCUAGUCUGACUUAGAACCUGUGACCCUUUGCCAGACCCAGAAAUAAAACAGAGGAGGAGGAGGGUGUGAAAUGAAGCGGGCUUUCCCGGGGCUACAUUUUCCUCCUGGACUCCUAACGGGCCUGAGCAAGAGUCCAGUGCUCCCAGGACCCUAUCGCCGUCCUGGAUAAGUCACUCACGUCACUCACCACUCAGGACAGAAGCGAGCCUUCUCGCUCCUCCCUCGGGCUCAGAGCUCAGUGUAUGGACAAACAGAAACAGGCCCUGGGGCUUGCAGGACAGGGGACUCAGGGAACAAAUCUAAAAGAAGAGACGUGGUCGCGGGAGGCUUUGGGGUCAGAGAAGCAGGGAGAGGGGGCGGCCGAUGCUCAGAAAGGUGGAACAAUUGCUCAGCCAGACAGAUGAGCCUGAUCUUUCGAAGUAACCCGCGCUAUGGAACAGGUGCUGGGCACUGCUCCGAGCGCAUCACUGGUACUAACUUGUUUCCAUGGCCCUGGCAUCACAAGAGGUGGGUUCUGCUACAGUCCCCAUAUCUAGGAUGAGAAAACAGGUGCCCAGAAAGGCUGAGUACCUUUCCCAAGGUCACAGAGAACAGAGCUCUCAGGCCAGCGGCUCCACUGCAGAACCCACAGGAUGCUGGCUCCUGCACCGUACAUACUUCUCACAAAAGCACAGCUAGCGGGAAUCCAGGGGGCCCUGCGUCAGCUGGGAUGCGAGAUCACUGUCAGAAAACAGUCCCUGAUUCCCUGCUUUAGUAUCACAAAUUCUAGAGCCUCACUCUCUGCUCCGUUUUAUCUCCCAACGAGCAAGCUGGGCCCUGGCUCCACCGAGCUCCAGGCCCACUCCUGUGCCUUCCUGAAGCCCUGCAGAAGCUGCCCUCCAGCCUCUGGGAUCAGGCCACACUCUCCUGUGCCAACCCUUUGGGGCUCCUGCAAGCCUGGGGUAGCGUGGCAGGAACCAAGGGGUUACAUUCCAGCUUUGCAAUUCACAGCUGUGCAGCUCUGGCACCUUCCUUACCCUCUCGGGCUCUUGAUUUCCCUCCUCUAUGAAAUGGGGAGAACCGGGUCCAGAUGUCAGGAUUAACGAGACGUAUGAGUACAGGAGGCAGACAAAGCUGCUCGAAGGACAGAGGCAGGGUCACCUCCACCACGUGGCUUCAGAUCCUGCUCUGAGGCCCAAACGGCUCAUGUGUAAAAUAGAAAUAAUAACAGUACCCACAUUACAGGCUUGGGGAAUGAGAGACAGUGACGGGAGAAGCAGUAUUAAUAUGGCAUGUUAGUAAUAAAAGAUCACUGGCACACAAUUACCGCGAACAGUAACAAUAGCAAAUAACCAACUUAAGAAAUAGAGUGAGGAGUUCCCGUUGUGGCACAGCGGAAGCAAAUCUGACUAGGAAUCAUGAAGUUGAAGGUUCGAUCCCUGGCCUCGCUCAGUGGGUUAAGGACCUGGUGUUGCUGUCAGCUGUGGUGUAGGUCGCAGACGCGACUCGGAUCUAGCAUUGCUGUGGCUGUGGUGUAGGG
RNAcentral lists this long non-coding RNA (8372 nucleotides) under Sus scrofa (pig). RNAcentral describes it as "lncRNA (ENSSSCG00055021519.1)". The record is from RNAcentral. Lineage: Eukaryota; Metazoa; Chordata; Mammalia; Artiodactyla; Suidae.